RNAcentral lists this non-coding RNA (74 nucleotides) under bovine gut metagenome. Its description in RNAcentral is "Cyclic di-GMP-I riboswitch". It matches the Rfam family "c-di-GMP-I riboswitch aptamer", at positions 6 to 83 of the family's 87-position model. Rfam says of the family: GEMM was predicted in a large-scale screen for bacterial structured RNA regulatory elements. Genes associated with GEMM are involved in a diverse array of functions, including chemotaxis regulation, signal transduction, secretion and chitin. The record is from RNAcentral. RNAcentral also lists the same sequence under 1 other name.
UUAAAGGUAAACCUAGGGAAACUUAGGGACACAAAGCCAAGGGUCUAAGGCGUAAGCUAAUGACAGCCGGUUGC